GGGUCGGCGCUCAGAAGGGGCCCCGCGAGGCGGAGGGUUGAGAAGGGGCCGGGACCUUUUCCAGCUGACCACCUCUUCCUGUGCGGAGAUCUCUACAGCGCCCAUGCUGUGACCCCUGCAGCUGAGUGGCACAUGGAGACAGAACCAGCUCCAGAAGGAUGCUCAGAAGUCUGGCGCCCGCCCAGAGCAGGAAUCCAGUGGGAGGCCAUUGGCUGUUAACCAGACAGUUGCUUUAAUAAAGCCUCUUUACAGGGAUUUAACGUGCAAAAUGGCGGUUGUACCAGAUUGGCAUACUUUGUAUCCUCACACACAAAAAUUCACGCAUUUAAGACCCC
Molecule: long non-coding RNA, 335 nt
Organism: Eubalaena glacialis (North Atlantic right whale)
Lineage: Eukaryota; Metazoa; Chordata; Mammalia; Artiodactyla; Balaenidae
Exons: 3
Source: RefSeq, a predicted model, not a curated record